GGUGAACCUGCGGAAGGAUCAUUGUCGAAGUCGAACGGAAGGACGACCCGCGAACCGUCAAUGC
This 64-nucleotide ribosomal RNA is filed under the name Astronia sp. Fernando 2940. RNAcentral's name for it is "partial 18S ribosomal RNA". Lineage: Eukaryota; Viridiplantae; Streptophyta; Magnoliopsida; Myrtales; Melastomataceae. The record is from RNAcentral.